RNAcentral lists this ribosomal RNA (254 nucleotides) under uncultured bacterium. RNAcentral's name for it is "partial 16S ribosomal RNA". It matches the Rfam family "Bacterial small subunit ribosomal RNA", at positions 524 to 776 of the family's 1533-position model. The record is from RNAcentral.
UACGUAGGGCGCAAGCGUUGUCCGGAAUUAUUGGGCGUAAAGAGCUCGUAGGCGGUUCCGUAAGUCAGAUGUGAAAACUCAGGGCUCAACCCGGAGACGCCAUCUGAUACUGCGGUGACUGGAGUCUGGUAGGGGAACACGGAAUUCCUGGUGUAGCGGUGAAAUGCGCAGAUAUCAGGAGGAACACCGAUGGCGAAGGCAGUGUUCUGGGCCAGUACUGACGCUGAGGAGCGAAAGCGUGGGGAGCAAACAGG